ACCCUUAACAUCCAUGGUACUCCAUGGGAACCAUUUUGAUUGUUCUAACUCGAAUGAGUAUUAUAUAUAAAGAUUACUCACAAAAGAAUAAGGGAAAAGGAAAUAAAUAGAUAAAGUGAUAGGUGAGGAUUGAGGCCCUCAUGCCUACGUAUCCUCAUAAUGUAAUGAGGAAUUCAUAGCUCCCCAGUUCAAAGAACUAGUGGUGAGAGAUGAAAAGAAUUGUGAUAACGGGUAUGGUCUAAACCAAAGGAUAAUGUGAUUUUCACUUCAACAAGG
Molecule: long non-coding RNA, 276 nt
Filed under: Lathyrus oleraceus (garden pea)
Lineage: Eukaryota; Viridiplantae; Streptophyta; Magnoliopsida; Fabales; Fabaceae
Description: Pisum sativum (pea) long non-coding RNA (PSAT_LNC004489)
Source: RNAcentral